GGCACGCUGGCGCAAUGGUAGCGCAUUGCUCUCCUAUUAUUAGGUAUUCUCUACCGAACGAAGGCAAGCAAAGGUUGCGGGUUCGACCCCCGUGUGUGUCG
Aspergillus nanangensis is the source of this 101-nucleotide non-coding RNA. The record is from the annotation of a GenBank genome assembly. Lineage: Eukaryota; Fungi; Ascomycota; Eurotiomycetes; Eurotiales; Aspergillaceae.